GACGAACGCUGGCGGCGUGCUUAACACAUGCAAGUCGAACGGAAAGGCCCUGCUUUUGUGGGGUGCUCGAGUGGCGAACGGGUGAGUAACACGUGAGUAACCUGCCCUUGACUUUGGGAUAACUUCAGGAAACUGGGGCUAAUACCGGAUAGGAGCUCCUGCUGCAUGGUGGGGGUUGGAAAGUUUCGGCGGUUGGGGAUGGACUCGCGGCUUAUCAGCUUGUUGGUGGGGUAGUGGCAUACCAAGGCUUUGACGGGUAGCCGGCCUGAGAGGGUGACCGGCCACAUUGGGACUGAGAUACGGCCCAGACUCCUACGGGAGGCAGCAGGGGGGAAUAUUGCACAAUGGGCGGAAGCCUGAUGCAGCAACGCCGCGUGCGGGAUGACGGCCUUCGGGGUGUAAACCGCUUUCGCCUGUGACGAAGCGUGAGUGACGGUAAUGGGUAAAGAAGCACCGGCUAACUACGUG
RNAcentral lists this ribosomal RNA (468 nucleotides) under uncultured bacterium. RNAcentral describes it as "partial 16S ribosomal RNA". It matches the Rfam family "Bacterial small subunit ribosomal RNA", at positions 28 to 507 of the family's 1533-position model. The record is from RNAcentral.